CACGUAGGGGGCAAGCGUUGUCCGGAUUUAUUGGGCGUAAAGAGCUCGUAGGUGGUUCGGUAAGUCGGGUGUUAAACCCCCAGGCUCAACCUGGGGACGCCACUCGAUACUGCUGUGACUAGAGUCCGGUAGGGGAGCGUGGAAUUCCUGGUGUAGCGGUGAAAUGCGCAGAUAUCAGGAGGAACACCAGCGGCGAAGGCGGCGCCUCUGGGCCGGUACUGACACUGAGGAGCGAAAGCGUGGGUAGCAAACAGG
RNAcentral lists this ribosomal RNA (255 nucleotides) under uncultured bacterium. RNAcentral's name for it is "partial 16S ribosomal RNA". It matches the Rfam family "Bacterial small subunit ribosomal RNA", at positions 524 to 776 of the family's 1533-position model. The record is from RNAcentral.